AUUUAAAUAGCUUAAGAAGAGCAUACCAUUGAAGCUGGUAAGGUAAUUUUCAUAUUUUUAAAUA
This 64-nucleotide transfer RNA is filed under the name Chirotenon longimanus. RNAcentral describes it as "tRNA-Phe". Lineage: Eukaryota; Metazoa; Arthropoda; Insecta; Coleoptera; Anthribidae. The record is from RNAcentral.